AGAGUUUGAUCAUGGCUCCGAGUGAAUGCUAGCGGAAGGCUUGACACAUGCAAAUCGAACGGCGUGAAAACGCGCAGUGGUGUCUUGGUGAGUAAUAUAUGGGGAUCGAAGCCUGGUUUCUGGGAUUUAAAAUACCGAUUAAAAGAUUUAAAUUGCCCAGGCUAGACCUCGUUUUAUAAUUAGGUAGUUGGUAGUGUAAUAGACUGCCAAGCCAUCGAUGUUUAGCUGGUUUGGGAGAACGAUCAGCCACAAUGGGACUGAAAUACCGCCCGUCUUCUUCGAGGGGGCAGCAGUGGGGAAUCCUGGACAAUGAGCGAAAGCUUGAUCCGGCAAUUCUGCAUGUAUGAUGAAGGCCCUGACACGUCGUAAAGUACUAACAUCGAGGAUAAUAAUGACGGUACUCGAUUAAGAAGUCCUGACUAACUUCGUGCCAGCAGUCGCGGUAAAACGGAGAGGACAAGUGUUAUUCGUAUUGACUGGGUGUAAGGGUACGUAGGUGGUUGUUUAAGUUAGAAAUGAACAAACGAAUUUCUAAAACUAUCCGACUAGAGUUAUGGGGAGGAAAGCGGUACUUCCAGUUUAGAAGUGAUAUUCGUUUGAGAUUGGGGGGACCAACACUAGGCGACGGCUGCUUUUCAUUCAUAGACUGACACUGAGGUACGAAAGCGUGGGGAGCGGACGGGAUUAGAUACCCUGGUAGUCCACGCCCUGACCGAUGAAUAUUAAUCGUUCGCUUUUUAGCGGGUGAUUGAGCUAACGCGUAAAUAUUCCACCUGAGGACUACGGCCGCAAGGUUAAAACUCAAAGAAAUUGGCGGAAGAUUGUUUAAGCGGUGGAGUAUGUGGUUUAAUUUGAUAAUACGCAGAGAACCUUACCAAUCCUUGAGGAUACGUAAAUACGAGUGUAAUUACUUUUUUCGGCUUAGACUCUUAACGGGAGAUAAGCUAGACGUAUUCCAGGCGUUGCAUGGCUGUCGUAAGUUCGUGUCUUGGGAUGUGUGGUUAACUCCAUGAACGGACGCAACCCUUGUCCCUAAUUACUUUAGGGAGCUGAUUUGAGAGACCUUGUGGAAGCAGAGGAGUAUGUCAAGUCAUUAUGACCCUGAUGGAUUGGGCUACACACGUACUACAAGGGUAAUUACAAAGAGAAACAAGACCGCGAGGUGGAGUGAAUCUCGAAAUGUUACCAUAGUUCGGAUUGUUUUUUGCAAUAAAAACAUGAAGGCGGAAUCGCUAGUAAUCGCGGAAUAGAAUGUCGCGGUGAAUAAUAAGACCGAUCUUAGUACACACCGCCCGUCACGCCAUGGGAGUUGGCGUAGUUUGAAGAGCUAAGCAUGUGUUUUCAAAGGGCCCGGUUUCGUUUGAUUGAAUUAAAAUAUCGGCCUCGUGGCAUGUGAACUGGUGUCGACAAUUACGUUGGUAACUGGGGUGAAGUCGUAACAAGGUA
RNAcentral lists this ribosomal RNA (1446 nucleotides) under uncultured bacterium. RNAcentral describes it as "bacterial SSU rRNA". It matches the Rfam family "Bacterial small subunit ribosomal RNA". The record is from RNAcentral.